RNAcentral lists this long non-coding RNA (5996 nucleotides) under Sus scrofa (pig). Its description in RNAcentral is "lncRNA (ENSSSCG00040002101.1)". The record is from RNAcentral. Lineage: Eukaryota; Metazoa; Chordata; Mammalia; Artiodactyla; Suidae.
UGACUUUGUUCCUUCACCCUCCAGAAAGGAGUCGAUCUGCCUACUCCUUGAAUAUGCGCUAAGCCUGUGAGUUGCUUUCACAGUGGAAUCUGUCAAAAGUGACCCUCGCUGAGUUUCAGAGCUUAAGUUUCAAGAUGCCUGGCAGCUUCUGCCUCAUCCCCUGUCCCUGUGGCUGAGCUGUCCACAAUGUCUGGUGGGUCUGAAAAUGGGUAGGCCUAUGGCUGGGGACUUGCUGGCCAGUGGGAGGGCUCAGAUCCUCCCCAAGAUGUAGUAUGGAAAGAAGAGCAUGGGGUUACUUCAGAGGUUCAGGCUACAGGCUGAAAUGCUACCCAUGCAGAGGAAACCAGACUUCUAACAGGCCUUCCUAUCUCCACUGGACAGCUCGUUCUUAAGCGCAGCGUUUACCAUGUUACUUCCUUGUUUGAGAUAUUUUAAUAACUAAACCUUCCUCUAAUAUUUUCAGGGCUUGGGGCAAGAGUACAGAUAGAAACUGACAUAGCCAAAUAUAUUAAAAAAUAUAAAUCUAUUUAACAAACUGAGAAAAGAGUAUGUCUUGUGAAAAGCAUGCCUUUAUAUUGACAAAAUUUAUACGUACAUGUAAAGUUAUGGCUUUUAUACUACUGAAGUCAAGAAAAUAGUAAAAACAAUUAAAUUAUCUUAUUGUGCAUGUCUGAGUAUUAUAAUAUAGUUUAUUAUGUUGACUAAGAAAAUGAAGGAUGUAAAACAUAUAGCUUAUUAUAUAUUUAUUCUAUAAUAUUCAUCUUAGCCAAAUCAGUUAUUUUAAUCAAGAUUUUUCACAUAAUUUAUAUUCUAGUGACUGUGGUGAUCAAGAAUUAAAAAUAUUAAAAGUGUAGGAGUUCCUGUCCUGGCUCAGUGGUGAACGAACCUGACUGGCAUCCAGAAGGACAUGGGUUCAAUCCCUGGCCUUGUUCAGUGGAUUAAGGAUCUGGCGUUGCUGUGAGCUGUGGUGCAGGUCGAAGACAGGGCUCAGAUCCCGCAUUGCUGUGGCUCUGACAUAUGCUGGGGGCCACAGCAUCGAUUUGAUGUCUAACCUGGGACCCUCCAUAUGCCGCAGGUGCAGCCCUAAAAGAUUAAAAAAAAAAAUUAAAAGUGUAAAAAUUAAUUUUGGAAUAUUUUCAUCAAAGAUGUAAAGUAAAUGUUAAAAAAAAAGGAAUAUGAAAAUCAUUUUUAUAUAUCUUUUCAAAAGAGGCUUUCCUCCCCAAAUAUCAAGGUUAUCUAUAAAAUGAAAAGGCAGAAGCUAAAUUAUAAUAACUAUCAAAAUAUUAAAUAAGAUAUUUUAAAAUAAAGCCUUCACCCUCAUGGGACAGUUUUGCCACCUGGUACUGGAGGAUGAGAAGCCUCUAGGAAAAAAAGCGAAUCACAGUGCAAAAGCCCCAGUCCAUUGUCAGGCACAGAGAGGGAGGUUCAGGUAACUCAGGUGAGCUCAGGUGCGCCACCAGCUGCAUGAAGCUUCCCAAGAGAGCACCCAGGCAAGAUGAGAAAAAGAACCAACUCACCAAUACACAGAAGCAUAGGAAAUAAUUAUUAGAAAUUGGAGACAAUGUUAUUCUCACUUACAACCACAGAAGAAAGAAUAAAUGACUUGCCCAGUGUAAUACUGUCUCUUGGUGCAGGAACCAUGAUUUAAAACAAACACUCCAUACUUAUUUCUCCUUUGUGCUCUUUCUUAGGAAGUGGCAGAGAAUCUUCAGGGAAACUGUAACUGGAUCUAGAUUAUGGCUUCGGCCCAUAGAUUUUAUCUGUUAGGUAAAAUUUAGAAUUUAGAAUUUUAGAUUCUCCUGAUCCUUGUGGAGGAACAAAGCAUUAGAUGAAGAUUUUUUAUUUGGCACUGAGUUAAUGCAGGAGUGAAGGUAUAUCAAAUGAACUAAAAGAAAUAGGGUGACAUGCAAUUUUGUUUAGCAAAACCCUUACUAACAUAAAUUCUAUUUCACUUUCUAACUGCACCCAUAUAAUCCUGAUCCCAAAUUAGCCUUCAUUAUAUUCAGUGAAACCACGUGCAUUUGGUUUUCUAAAACAUAUUAUCUGAGGCAUCAUUAAUGAAGCGUAUCAAAUUAACAGAUAUUUGUUGAGCUCAUGCUGUGCGGAAGGCUCUGUGUUGGAUGUGGUAUCACAUGUUCCAUCCUGAAGAGCCAGUGUGGGUGGCCUCCUGUAGCCGGCUCAGAUUUCUGGAAUGAUGUGGGUAUUUUUCUUUGAUGGUAAUAACGGAUGAAUGAGGAUGCUCGAUUCCUUUUGCACACUUGAGGCUAUAUGAACUAUUGGUCAUUUGUAUAUCAAAGAAAUGAUUCCUGCUGUACAUCUUCUGCCCAGCAAUGUGUUAAUAGCUUCAUCUAUCCAUUUCAAAUAGAAGGGAAGCUAUUUUUUAUUUUAUACUCUUGAGUUGUUUCACUAUUUCUUUGUCCAAAUGUUAUUUUUAUUUACACGUGCUAAUUUUUAAAAGUACAUGUGCUCAGAAGCUAAUAUUUGACAACAUGUGUAUAUCUUUUUAUUAUUUUUAUUUUUUCUCAUUUAUACUUAUUUUUUGAAAGAUUCUUUAAAUUCUACAGUGUUUUACAAUUUUUAAGUUUCACACACAAUUUUGUAUAAUCCCUUAAUAACAUUUUUUAUCCCUUACCCCUAUAUAUUUUUGGGUUGUUCAGUGAGCGUUUAUUUAUGUUAUUUAAAAUGCUUUCAUUUUUGCACAGUUUUCUCAGGACCCCACGACAAAAUACCAUAGACUGGAAGGCUUAAACAACAGAAGUUUAUUUUCUCACAGUUCUGGAGGUAGGAAGUUCACGCUCAGGGUGUUGGCAGUUGUGGUUUCUCCUGAGUCCUCUCUCCUUGGCCUGCAGACGGCCACCUGCUUGCUGUGUCCACACAUGGCCUUUUCACUGUGCAUUCACAUUGCUGGUAUCUCUGCCUCUGUUUAGGGACACUGGUCAGACUGGACUAGGCCCCACCCAUAUGAUCUCAUGUAACCUUAAUUACCCUUGAAAUGUCCUGUCUCUCCAUACAGACACAUUCUAAAGCACUAGGAGUUAAGGCUUUAAUAUAUGCAUUUAGGGAAGCACAAUUCAGCCCGUAACAAUUUUCAUUAUCUUAUUUAUAUUAACAGAAUAUAUAAAUCCCUUUAUGCUAUUAUUAAAUGAUACUGUGUUUUCCUCUUUACAUUAUUUUAAAGGUCUACAUUUUACAUACCUCUUUGAUUGUAACAAUAAUUAUUAUUUAACAUUUAUUUGGUACUUAGUAUCUGUCAGGCAUGCUGCUAAUUAUUUGAAUUAUAUAGCAUGUAAGCUGUAUGCAACCGUAAGAGCUAGAUACUACUAUUAUUUCUAUUGUGGUGGUGAGAAAACAGAGGUUUAGGAUGUUCACAGACUUGUAAAAGUUCAUGACUGAUAAAUGGAAAAGACUAGAGGCCCUUUGUCUGCAAAACAACUUUGUGAAAUCUGUAUUGCAGGUACUAUGUAAUUUGUUGGGGGUGGGGUAAUGGCUAGUUCCCUUAGCAGAUUUUGAAUUCCUACCUGGUAGCUCCAUUUAUUCUUUGUAUUUCUAGCAUUUUAGUUCAUUGAUUCAACCUAACCUUCCAAAGCUAUGUCUCAGUAAACAUUCUGCUGAACUUGAAUGCAAGGGUGCUUCCUACAUUUUUUGAAUCAAACCAAAUCAAGAGAUGAAACAGUUUGCCUAAGGCUACCCAGUUAAUUGGUGACAGAUUAAAAAACUAGAACUUUAUUACAUUUCUGGUCCAGUUAUUGUACUUUUACACCAAAUUGCUCCCUUUAAGAGUGACAUGACCUGCUAAAGUUUGUAGGAAAGAGAGAGAAACACACACCACAUAUUCAUUUGAGAAUGCUUGUUCUCUCCAAAAGAGAACCCCAACACAGAGCUUUUCUCCUCUGGCAAUCAGAUAUUGAUCUAAUAACUCAGAGCCGACUUUAGAUGAAGGAAUUCAGUGCUAUUUUCAGAACAGCCACAACGCCAUUUUUAAAUUUAUAAUGAAAAAAAAAAAAAAACAAACCCACUUCUAUUGGGCAUGGAAUUAGUUAUAUCUGCUUGCAUAGUUUCAGAUCAUAAAGGCACCUGUGCAUUGUCAGCUGCAUCCUUGUGACACCUACCCCUUGUGCUUUCACAUUACAAUUUCAGCUUUAGCUUUGAGUGGAAAGCCCUGGGGUGUCAGCGUGCUUUCUAUUAGAAUCCAAUUCAUUGUCGUUCCUCUCCUUCAGCCAUCUGGUUACGACUGUGAGUAAACAGGAAGCACUGAUGCUUUAUAAAGCAUAGAAGGAUGAAGUCCCAAGCAUUUCAAAUGGUCCCUAGCUUUUCCACUUAGAAAUCAAAUUCAGUUGUGUUACUCUUUUUGCCCCUUUUAUUGUAGCCAUGUUCUGUGUUAUCCUAAUAGACCUUCUUUGAUUUCCAUCUUGUAAAAAUAGGAUAGAGGAUGUUUACUGGUAAUUUCUUAAAAUACAUUCCUUACUGAAAUCAUUACAGAGGCGUUUCACCUUAUUUUAAGUAGGCGUUUUCAAUGUACAUACUGGCCCACGAUGUACAUAUUUAUUUCUUUUUAUUGUUUUAUGCUGACCGAUCCUGCCAUUUUACUCCAUACAUCAUUCUAAAGAAAUCAUUUCAUCUGUUUUUACCAUUUAAUGUGCUCACCUCCAGUGUGGAGACAGUAAGUCUGGACUGUUUAAGAGGUAAACCUGGGAAAAUUAAUUCCAGUUUGGAAAGAAGUCUGAGUGUCUCUGCUGAAGAGGUUUUAUAAUUGAUAUUAUUUUUGUUGCCAUCAACAGGCUGUGGAAGGUAAUAGAAAAAAAAUUUAACUGAACAGGGUCCAAGCCUCAUGCUCAACUGUUGGAGUGUAAUUCUGUUUCAAUAUAGAAGCCUUAAGUUCCAUUCUGUAUGUGAUUGGACCCACAAAAGGCAGGGACUCCACAAACUCAUUACAAUCAAAUGGGACUUGAAUUCUCUUGUCUAAUGUCAUAAUAAGCAAUUAUGAGCAUCUUCUCAGCAUUCAAAUCGGGUAAUGGUGAAACCCUAGAGAGACAUUAGAUGCUGGCAGACUCUGGCUGAUGGAAUGUGCAUAUGCUCAAUGGAUCCCUGAAGGCAGGAUGGGUAGCUGGAUGCCAGGGCAGAUUGCCCUCAGUAUUUAGGGUAGACGCUACCUUCAAUUAUGACUUGUGUUUUAUAAUCUGAGCAGUUAUAAUAAUAUGUGUGUUCAUUCUGGAGAACUCUCUGCGGCAACCGUAGGAACAGCCUUUCACAUCCAUCUCCCAUUUCACGAGAGAAUAGCAAAUGAAACUCUUCUUUCAACUUUAUAUUUCUCUGAUAGCAAAGUCUGGAAAAAUACAAGUUCUACUCUACACUAUCAUUUUGUUUUAUGUUAAAUCUCCUUUUGUCCACUCUGGGAGAAGUAGCAGAUUUUGCAUUAUCAGUGGGCUCCUUUGUAAAGAUAAUUAGAUAAGUAAAUACUUGCAGCCCUACAGCAAGGCAUUGAGGAGGGCUUCUUAUUGGAAAAUUCUCCUACACACAAGUUAGUUACUGAAUUGUGUUAUUCUUUUCAGCUGAGUCCUCAGAGCAAAAUGAGAUGGUCUUUCUAAUUUUUUUUUUUCCCCACUAGUUAAAGAAGGAGCCUCAACCAGAUAAUUUCUCAGGGGGAUUCUUGCUCAAAAUUGUAUGAUUCUGUGAAAAACUGAUCAGAUGACAUUUAGACAUGUUGAGGAAUUCUUUAAUUCAGAGAUCUUUAGAAGGCUGUCCCUUCUGUAAGGACCAGUCUAGAUGGUACAAAUGAAAUAGAAAGUUGGACCAAUGAAACAUCUCUGAAAAGAGAGUUUUGGGGGGGGGGAUGAUUUUUAACUGUAAAGAAAAAGAAAUGGAUGGUUUACAGGAAUUAUUGGUAUUAUUUUCAUAUAUCCAUAAUUUGCAACUUUCCUACUUCUAAAAACUCUCUAAGGCAUAUAAUACACAUUAAAAAUUAAACCAUUAUAAUAAUUGUGUAAACCAACUAUAAU